Molecule: ribosomal RNA, 483 nt
Filed under: uncultured bacterium
Lineage: Bacteria
Description: partial 16S ribosomal RNA
Rfam family: Bacterial small subunit ribosomal RNA
Source: RNAcentral
AUUGAACGCUGGCGGCAGGCCUAACACAUGCAAGUCGAGCGGAUGAAGGGAGCUUGCUCCUGGAUUCAGCGGCGGACGGGUGAGUAAUGCCUAGGAAUCUGCCUGGUAGUGGGGGAUAACGUCCGGAAACGGGCGCUAAUACCGCAUACGUCCUGAGGGAGAAAGUGGGGGAUCUUCGGACCUCACGCUAUCAGAUGAGCCUAGGUCGGAUUAGCUAGUUGGUGGGGUAAAGGCCUACCAAGGCGACGAUCCGUAACUGGUCUGAGAGGAUGAUCAGUCACACUGGAACUGAGACACGGUCCAGACUCCUACGGGAGGCAGCAGUGGGGAAUAUUGGACAAUGGGCGAAAGCCUGAUCCAGCCAUGCGGCGUGUGUGAAGAAGGUCUUCGGAUUGUAAAGCACUUUAAGUUGGGAGGAAGGGCAGUAAGUUAAUACCUUGCUGUUUUGACGUUACCAACAGAAUAAGCACCGGCUAACUUCGU